AGAGACUCAACAGGAAGCCGCCAUGGUCCCAGCGACCACCGACAGGAGGGCUCGGCCGGUUAGCUGCUCCGGCCGGUUAGCUGUUCCGGCUAACCUCGGGGAACCUCGUAAGAAGAGCCGGGCUCCGGUUUACGGUUGAGGGAAUGCCAAGCUUACUGCUAUGUUCUUCCCACCAAGUGUUUGACCAUUACCAUGAGGGACAAACUUUUACAAAAAGGAGUGAGAGACAACAGGGGAACUCCGCAGAACAUGGAGGGACAUCAGUAGUCAUAAGCUGCAAGACAGAAACAGAACAGCGAUUGGUCAGUUUGUGCUCUUCUAGGACUGCAUGAGGAGGAAGAGGAGGAAGAGGAGCAUGCGAUCCACUCGGUAAAGAUCCGGGAUCAUGCAGGGAAGCGUCACACCAGGGUGCUCUUACUUUCUAUGGUGAGGAUGCAGGUGCUGGCCGCCGUGCCUCGGCUGUUCACGGCUUUGCACAUGUAUUCUCCUUCGUCCUCGGGGAAGGUCUCGGGCAGGUAGAGGCAGUACGUCUCUCCUCGCUCGAUGUACUGAUAGUCCUCGCAGUCCUGCAGCAUCUCGCCCUCGAACCACCAGGUCACCUCUGGCUUCGGUUCCCCGGUGAUCUUGACGGUGAACCGGACGGGCUCGGAAUCCACCACCGACUGGUUCUUCAGGGGCUUUUUGAACCAUGGAGCCCCCGACCGGGCAUGGUCCUCCUCGUCUUCGUACGCCGCCGAGCCGUUGAUGAUGCUGCCCUCCUCCUCGCCGUCAUCAUCCUUCUUCUGGGAACAGAUGACAAAUUAUCACAAGCACUGCCACUAUCUAACCGACUCUGACUACGCUGUGAGAAAACAACGAACAGAAAAAAAAGUGAAAAUCUAGGAGUGAAAAAUGCAUUAAAAACGGUGGAAUCCUGUAAAGUUCAGAAACUGUUAAAAGUGUUAAAGUAAGAGCAAAUAUGUAUAGAAUAAUACAUUUUUACCUGAUUUAAAUACUAUAUAUUUUCUACUCUCUCUCUCUCUCUCUCUCUCUCUCUCUCUCUCUAUAUAUAUAUAUAUAUAUAUA
This is a long non-coding RNA of Amphiprion ocellaris (clown anemonefish), 1065 nucleotides long. RefSeq lists it as uncharacterized. The transcript is spliced from 2 exons. Lineage: Eukaryota; Metazoa; Chordata; Actinopteri; Pomacentridae. The record is from RefSeq and is a predicted model, not a curated record.